RNAcentral lists this ribosomal RNA (253 nucleotides) under uncultured bacterium. RNAcentral describes it as "partial 16S ribosomal RNA". It matches the Rfam family "Bacterial small subunit ribosomal RNA", at positions 524 to 776 of the family's 1533-position model. The record is from RNAcentral.
UACGUAGGGCGCAAGCGUUGUCCGGAAUUAUUGGGCGUAAAGAGCUCGUAGGCGGUCUGUCGCGUCGGCUGUGAAAACUCGGGGCUCAACCCCGAGCCUGCAGUCGAUACGGGCAGACUAGAGUGCGGUAGGGGAGACUGGAAUUCCUGGUGUAGCGGUGAAAUGCGCAGAUAUCAGGAGGAACACCGGUGGCGAAGGCGGUUCUCUGGGCCUGUACUGACGCUGAGGAACGAAAGCGUGGGGAGCGAACAGG